Molecule: ribosomal RNA, 481 nt
Filed under: Pontoscolex corethrurus complex sp. L1
Lineage: Eukaryota; Metazoa; Annelida; Clitellata; Crassiclitellata; Glossoscolecidae
Description: partial small subunit ribosomal RNA
Rfam family: Bacterial large subunit ribosomal RNA
Source: RNAcentral
UACCUUAAGACAAAAAUAAUUUAAGGCAAACCCUGCCCAGUGAAAUCUUCAACGGCCGCGGUAUCCUAACCGUGCAAAGGUAGCAUAAUAACUUGCCUAUUAAUUAUAGGAUAGAAUGAAAGGGUAAACGAAAUAGGAGCUGUCUCUAUUAGCCCAAUGAAAAUUAUUUUUUAACUGAAGAAAGUUAAAUUCAACUGAAGGACAAGAAGACCCUAUAGAGCUUAAUUUAACCUACUAAAUAAGUAAAAAUUAAAUUCGGUUGGGGCGACCGAUGCUCUACAAAUCAUCACCCACAAAAAGAAAUAUACAUCUCAAAAAAGACCCUGACCCAGAUCAAAAAAACAAGCUACCUUAGGGAUAACAGGCUAAUCUCAUUAAUGAGUCCCCAUCUAUAAUGUUGGUUGGCACCUCGAUGUUGGCUUAGGGAAUCAAAAGGGCGCAGAAGCUUUUUAAGACGGUUUGUUCAACCAUUAAACCCCUA